GAUGAAGAACGCAGCGAAAUGCGAUAAGUAAUGUGAAUUGCAGAAUUCAGUGAAUCAUCGAAUCUUUGAACGCACAUUGCGCCCGCCAGCAUUCUGGCGGGCAUGCCUGUUCGAGCGUCAUUUCAACACUCGAGCCCCCCCGGGGGCCUCGGUGUUGGGGGACGGCACACCAGCCGCCCCCGAAAUGCAGUGGCGACCCCGCCGCAGCCUCCCCUGCGUAGUAGCACACACCUCGCACCGGAGCGCGGAGGCGGUCACGCCGUAAAACGCCCAACUUUCUUAGAGUUGACCUCGGAUCAGGUAGGAAUACCCGCUGAACUUAAGCAUAUCAAUAAGCGGAGGA
Molecule: unclassified non-coding RNA, 343 nt
Filed under: soil metagenome
Description: partial contains 5.8S ribosomal RNA, internal transcribed spacer 2, and large subunit ribosomal RNA
Rfam family: 5.8S ribosomal RNA (bases 1-120)
Source: RNAcentral